ACAAAAUUUAGAUUUUUUGUUAUUCACUAUUUUUUAUAAGCUUUAAAUUUUUAUUCACUAUUUGUACGUUAGUCAGUAGUUCUCGUUGGAAAGUAGUUUAAUUUUUUAAAACUAAAUAUUUUUUUGCUAAUUCGAUAAAUUAAUCUCAUAUGUAUUAAGUAAGCUGCGAAAUAUUUUGAGUUAUCAUAAGAUCAUAAUUGCAGUGUGUUAAUAAAAUGCGUG
Molecule: long non-coding RNA, 222 nt
Filed under: Trifolium pratense (red clover)
Lineage: Eukaryota; Viridiplantae; Streptophyta; Magnoliopsida; Fabales; Fabaceae
Description: long non-coding RNA (TPRA_LNC003968)
Source: RNAcentral